Molecule: ribosomal RNA, 254 nt
Filed under: uncultured bacterium
Lineage: Bacteria
Description: partial 16S ribosomal RNA
Rfam family: Bacterial small subunit ribosomal RNA
Source: RNAcentral
UACAGAGGGUGCAAGUGUUGUUCGGAAUUAUUGGGCGUAAAGGGCGCGUAGGCGGCUUGAUAAGUCAGAUGUGAAAGCCCUGGGCUUAACCCAGGAAUUGCAUUUGAGACUGCCAAGCUAGAGUGCGAAAGAGGAGAGCGGAAUUCCCGGUGUAGAGGUGAAAUUCGUAGAUAUCGGGAGGAACACCAGUGGCGUAAGCGGCUCUCUGGGUCGACACUGACGCUCAGUGCGCGAAAGCGUGGGGAGCAAACAGG